This 1361-nucleotide long non-coding RNA is filed under the name Setaria viridis. RNAcentral describes it as "long non-coding RNA (SVIR_LNC008276)". Lineage: Eukaryota; Viridiplantae; Streptophyta; Magnoliopsida; Poales; Poaceae. The record is from RNAcentral.
UAAACAACAAAUCAUCAGCUGCGAAGCAGCAGAGGUGACAUAUGACACUCCUAUUAUACACUCAAAAUAUUAAGAGGCGAAUUCUCAAAAAGAAGCAGGUGCCAGAAUGGCCAAAGACGUCAAAAAUAAGCCUCAGAGUCUAUGUCUCCCUUCGGGACCUCCGGCGUGGCGCUGCGGUCUCUUCCUUCUCGUCCUCUUUCUCCUCCUUGUCACCACUGCUUCCAGCACCAUCAGUCUCAGUCGCCUUGGGCUUCUUCGCCUCAGCUGCAGGUUUCACAGGAGCCUGCAACAAGCAAAUGUUGUGGGUUGGGCGUUCUCUUCAAGUCUAGGAUGACGAGGGGAGUAAAACAAUCGUUGGGAAGAACUUACCACAGGCUUCUUGCCACCGAACAGGAUCCUGAAGAGCACGGUCACAAAGACAACAACAACCGAGACCAAAAUGCCAAUAGUGAUGUUGGGCUGCUUCUCUCCCUUCUCGAUCACAUCCUGUGUGCAAGAUAUUGAGAGAAGAUGUCACUUUCUAGGUGUGACAUUCAGAUGUUUGACAAGAUAGGUUAGCAAAGAUUUCCAGAACUCACAAUGAUCUUGGUCUUGUAGGGUGCCAAGAAUGGAACAUCAGCAAUCUUGUACAGGAUGUCAAAAACCUUCUUCUGCAAUGCAGAUGGCAAAACAAGUUAGUUAUAAAAUGGAAGUAUGGUCCAGUAAAGAAAUUAACAGUAAUGGCUGUAAUAAAAAGAUAAGAAAAUGAAUUACCUGGAACUCAGAAAGACCAUCUGCACCAGCAGCAGCCUCCUCAGCCUUCUCCUUUUCCUUCUCAACUUCAUAUUUGGGCUUCCAGGUCUUCUCUAGGAUGGAGGUGGCAACCUUCUCAUCAUCAGCAAUCAAAAUAUUGUCAAACAGGAUGCCAUCCUGCAUCGUCCAGAUCUCAAUUCCAAUAGCAGCAAUUGGAUCAAAGUCAGGCUUGUCGAGCUCAAAGUACUCAGGGUUGGGGAUCUCCUGAGGCUUCCAGAUUCCCUUGUAGUUGGGAUUGUCAAUCAGGGGUGCAUGCCACUUGCCCUUGUAAGCAGGGUUCUGCUUCAUUGGCCUCUUCCACUCGCCACACCCAGGUGCCACUUCGCACUUGGGGUUGUCAAUCUUUGGUGCCUCCCAUUCACCAUCCUCCUCAUCAUCCCAGUCCUCAGGCUUGGCUGCCUCUGGAUCAUCAAUUUCCUCAGGCUCAUCAUCCAGCCAUCCCUCAGGCUUGGUGGCUUCCUCAUCCUCAAUUUCCAUUGGAGCAUCCUCAUCCCAGUCAUCAGGCUUCACUGCAUCUGGAUCAGGAAUUUUAGCUCUCUCAUCCCAGUCCUCUGGCUUCUUGUCAUCAG